RNA transcript from Physeter macrocephalus (sperm whale), 1992 nucleotides. It is a transcript of the gene named 40S ribosomal protein S12-like, with no coding region annotated. The transcript has a single exon. The record is from RefSeq and is a predicted model, not a curated record. NCBI's taxonomy places the organism in Eukaryota, Metazoa, Chordata, Mammalia, Artiodactyla, Physeteridae.
GUUUUAAAUAUACCCUCUUUUUAUCCUUAAAGCACUUUAUGAUUGUAGGUUAUCAAUAUUAUCUCCAUUUUGCAGCUGAAGAAACUGAGGUUUCAAGAGGUUAGAUAUCUGCCAUGUUCUUAAUGCAUAUUUUAUUGAGCCUCCUUUGGAUCUUUCUCUCCAUUUGUCUUGUAUGAAUAUUACAGUGAUAAUAGGUAUACCUAAAAAUCUAAAACCAGUUCUCAUCACCAUUGUUUGAAAGGUUUUGUGUAAAUAUGUGUGUGUGUGUGUGUGUGUAUUCAUACAAAUGCUUACCUAAAUAGUGUAUAGAAUCUGAUGUAACAUAUAAAAAUACUAAAGAAAUGCUAGAUUUGAAAUUAAAAAUAAUAUUGUUCAAUUGUUAGUAGCAUCAAAGAAACAUUUGAAAAUAAUAUUAUAGAAGGUUAAACAAAUGGGAGAGGGGUUAUAAUCUCAGGCAGUUUUUGAGAUUUAGCGAGAAACCAGUAGGGUCCUUGGGACAGCCUUUAGAAAAUGCUUUUGCACAGGAUGACCUCUUUUUUUUCCUUCGGGCUGUAACAAAGGGCAUUUUGUUAAUAGAGCAAUUUAUGUCAAAUCCUUUUUUGAGCCCAGGAAGACCAGAUUUUUUCUCCCAGGUUGUAUUUCUCUCAUCCUUCUAAGGCCAAGGUUUGAAAAAAAUCUCUAAAAGCAAGAUUCAAUAAAUACAUGGGCUUGCUAGAAAUAUUUAGUCACUUGGUCUUGUGAUUGCGGCAAAUCAUUCACUUGAGCAGAACCCAAAGGGCUUGUAUUUCCCGUUAUGGGAAAUACAAUCUGGGUAAGAUGGAGAAGGUUCUUUAAGGGGAGAGGUUUGUGGGUCACUUCAAAGUUGCGCAUGCUUACCUGGGGUUCUCUCCUUGAGGAAACUCAGUUAGCAUCAGCGUCCAUAUUUCUAUUUUUAGUUUAGAAUGCUCAUUUCUCCUCCCCACUCAGCCCUCCCUUCCUGUUUUGUUUUUUUUGUUUUUUUGUUUUUUUUGUUUUUUCUGAUAGUUUUGCAGACUCAAAAUGCCUCUCUCGGGACACAGUGCAGAGGUCUGGGAUGUGAUGCUGAACGACCAGCAGUGAUUUAGAACAAUCAGGACCCCCUGGAUGUAUUUUUAUACUUUACCAGCAGUUUGAUAACUAAGGACUAUAAACUUUGAACGGUGAUUCCAAGUCCCCAUAGGCUGUCAGGCUUACAAUUCACCUUCCACACUAUUUUAUAGAGAAUGACACUAGCUCCUGCCUUUUAAAAAAAAGUACCUUCUGGUUCAUUAGAAAUAUUGAAACAUGAUAUGUUAUAAAUGUUGAAAAACUUAUGAUGGUUGACAGUAUUCUUAUGUAUAAAUUCCUUUUUAGGAUGGCCUUUCCUUAUUUGUUACUUACAGUAGCAAAUAAUCAGCCCAAAUAAGUUAUUUGAAUGUACAUAUCCAUCACAUAAAACCCAUUAAAAUACUCAUCAUAGCUCUUUCCCUGCCGCCGCAGAGUCGCGCGGAGGCGCGGGUGCACUCAAGAUUCAGCUCCACCUGUAACCCACCGCCAUGGCCGAGAAAGGCAUUGCUGCUGGGGGUGUAAUGGACGUUAAUACUGCUCUGGAAGAGGUGCCGAGGCCCGCUUUCGUCCACGAUGGCCUAACACAUGGAAUUCGUGAAGCUGCCAAAGCCUUAGGCAAGCGCCAAGCCCAUCUCUGUGUGCUUGCAUCCAACUGUGAUGAGCCUAUGUAUGUCAAGUUGGUGGAGGCCCUUGUGCUGAGCACCAAAUCAACCUGAUUAAGGUUGAUGACAAGAAACUAGGGCGAUGGGUAGGCCUCUGUAAAACUGACAGAGAGGGAAAACCCCGUAAAGUGGUUGGUUGCAGUUGUGUGGUGGUUAAGGACUAUGGCAAAGAGGCUCAGGCCAAGGAUGUCAUCGAGGAGUACGUCAAAUGCAAGAAAUGAUCAAAUAAAAAAACUGGGCUCUUGUUCCUCAAAAAACAAACAAA